This 432-nucleotide ribosomal RNA is filed under the name Triticum aestivum (bread wheat). RNAcentral describes it as "partial small subunit ribosomal RNA". Lineage: Eukaryota; Viridiplantae; Streptophyta; Magnoliopsida; Poales; Poaceae. The record is from RNAcentral.
AUGAUUUUACGUGACCAUGCAGGCCAAGUAAUCUUCGCCGCUUCCCAUUGGCUCUUCUGCUGUCCCGGUUCUCUCGAGGCUGAGCUGGCCGCGUGCGAGGAGGGGCUCAAGCUAGCCCUUCACUGGUCCCAGGCCCUGCUGGUGGUGGAAACUGAUUGUGCGGAGAUCAUCGCACUGCUCAAGGCCGGGGAAUCUGAUCGUUUCAGGAACAUGCAUCAAGUAAGAGAAAUCUCUGACCUGCUUAAGGAGCGGCAAACUGAAGUCCGUAAGAUUAGCCGAUUGCAGAAGAAAGCUGGACAUGCCAUGGCUGCGAUAGGACGUGCACAUCAUCACACAGCGUGUUGGCUAGCAAAUGUACCACCGGAGAUUAGCACUAUCAUUACAGAUGAUUGUAAAAAUGUUACCACUUGUUUAAUGAAUGCUUUCCCCCGC